AUAUUGGACAAUGGGGUCAACUCUGAUCCUCCCAUGCCGCGUGUGUGACGAAGGUACNNNGAUUGNACAAUAAAUUAUGUUAGNAAANAGUGCUCAACGUUAAUACGCUGCAGUUAUGCCGUUACCAACAGAAUAAGCACUGUCCAACCACGUCACGACCGCCGCGGUAAUACAAAGGGUGCAAGCGUUAAUCGGAAUUACUGGGCGUAACGCGCGCGUAGGUGGUUCAGUAAGAUGGGUGUGAAAUCCCCGGGCUUAACCUGGGAACUGCUUUCAUAACUGCUGAGCUAGAGUACGGUAGAGGGUAGUGGAAUUUCCUGUGUAGCGGUGAAAUGCGUAGAUAUAGGAAGGAACACCAGUGGCGAAGGCGACUACCUGGACUGAUACUGACACUGAGGUGCGAAAGCGUGGGGAGCAAACAG
This 422-nucleotide ribosomal RNA is filed under the name uncultured bacterium. Its description in RNAcentral is "partial 16S ribosomal RNA". It matches the Rfam family "Bacterial small subunit ribosomal RNA", at positions 361 to 775 of the family's 1533-position model. The record is from RNAcentral.